RNAcentral lists this RNase P RNA (361 nucleotides) under Desulfobulbaceae bacterium. Its description in RNAcentral is "RNase P RNA component class A". It matches the Rfam family "Bacterial RNase P class A". Rfam says of the family: Ribonuclease P (RNase P) is a ubiquitous endoribonuclease, found in archaea, bacteria and eukarya as well as chloroplasts and mitochondria. Its best characterised activity is the generation of mature 5'-ends of tRNAs by cleaving the 5'-leader elements of precursor-tRNAs. Cellular RNase Ps are ribonucleoproteins. Lineage: Bacteria; Pseudomonadati; Thermodesulfobacteriota; Desulfobulbia; Desulfobulbales; Desulfobulbaceae. The record is from RNAcentral.
AGGAGUGGGCGCAUGGUCGCUGUUUCCUUCUUGGAAAUAGAGGAAAGUCCGAACUCCAUAGAGCAAGGUGGUUCGUAACGCGAACUGGGGGCAACCCUAAGGAAAGUGCCACAGAAAAUAUACCGCCUCGCUUUAAGCGAGGUAAGGGUGAAAUGGCGAGGUAAGAGCUCACCGCUUUUAUGGCGACAUAAAAGGCAUGGCAAACCCCUCCUGGAGCAAGAUCAAAUAGGGAAACGCUUAAGAGCUGCUCGCUCAAUGUUUCCGGGUAGAUUGCACGAGGCGCCAGGCGACUGUCGUCCUAGAUAAAUGACCAUGGCCUCAAUUUGAGGUACAGAAUUCGGCUUAUAGCCCACUCCUUUUU